AUUGGAAUCUGAGGCAGCGUUUGUGGAGUUGUCUGGAGCAGAGAUGGAGGUUGAACGUGAGUUCCUGUGGGUACCGGUUGAUGUUUGCAGAGUCUCAGGAGCUGGACUGGUGCCGGAAGUGGCAUCCGAGUGGGAGGUAGCACAAGACCGGAGACACCCAGUGCUGGAAGAGGUCUGCAUGUGCCUAAUGGCCGCAACAGCAUGGGUGGCCUGCAGGUGGCAGCAAACAGGGCUUGGAUUUUGAAUGGUUUAACAGCUCAACCGCGAUUCUGAAUGAGAUCAGAUAACUCAGUCCAGCCCUACAAUCAAAGUAAAAGUGGUCAUGAUCUAAAGGAUUUGUUUGUAUGCAAGGCAUGUACACAUGAACAAUGAAAGCACAAAUCCUGUCCAGAAUACAGAACAGACCAAAACAGGCUCACUGGACUGGUGAUAUCACAGUACUACAACAGGGCAUCAUUGCAUCGAUACUUCAAGUGGAUUGCAAAUCCAACCAUUUGUACUGGGUUGAACCUUGGAAUUCAUGAAAUUUUCUUUAUUGUAUCAAUUACAUAUGUGUGCUACUGAUAAACACCAUAUAACAAACUAAGGAAAUUCA
This is a long non-coding RNA of Rhincodon typus (whale shark), 595 nucleotides long. RefSeq lists it as uncharacterized. The transcript has 3 exons. The record is from RefSeq and is a predicted model, not a curated record. Lineage: Eukaryota; Metazoa; Chordata; Chondrichthyes; Orectolobiformes; Rhincodontidae.